This 267-nucleotide ribosomal RNA is filed under the name uncultured prokaryote. RNAcentral's name for it is "partial 16S ribosomal RNA". It matches the Rfam family "Bacterial small subunit ribosomal RNA", at positions 510 to 776 of the family's 1533-position model. The record is from RNAcentral.
AGCAGCCGCGGUAAUACGUAGGGUACGAGCGUUGUCCGGAAUUAUUGGGCGUAAAGAGCUCGUAGGUGGUUGGUCACGUCUGCUGUGGAAACGCAACGCUUAACGUUGCGCGUGCAGUGGGUACGGGCUGACUAGAGUGCAGUAGGGGAGUCUGGAAUUCCUGGUGUAGCGGUGAAAUGCGCAGAUAUCAGGAGGAACACCGGUGGCGAAGGCGGGACUCUGGGCUGUAACUGACACUGAGGAGCGAAAGCAUGGGGAGCGAACAGG